CCUACGGGGGGCUGCAGUCGAGAAUCAUUCGCAAUGGGCGAAAGCCUGACGGUGCGACGUCGCGUGGAGGAUGAAGGUCUUCGGAUUGUAAACUCCUGUCAUGUGGGAUAAAUGGCCCGGGCCCGAAUACGGCCUGGGAAUGAUCGUACCACAGGAGGAAGAGACGGCUAACUCUGUGCCAGCAGCCGCGGUAAUACAGAGGUCUCGAGCGUUGUUCGGAUUUACUGGGCGUAAAGGGAGCGUAGGCGGUUUGGUGUGUCGAAUGUGAAAGCCCGCAACUCAACUGCGGAAUGGCAUUCGAAACUACCAGGCUAGAGUACUGGAGAGGAGAGCGGAAUUCUUGGUGUAGCGGUGAAAUGCGUAGAUAUCAAGAGGAACACCGGUGGCGAAGGCGGCUCUCUGGACAGAUACUGACGCUGAGGCUCUAAAGUUAGGGGAGCAAACAGGAUUAGAUACCCUGGUAGUC
RNAcentral lists this ribosomal RNA (466 nucleotides) under uncultured Verrucomicrobiota bacterium. RNAcentral's name for it is "bacterial SSU rRNA". It matches the Rfam family "Bacterial small subunit ribosomal RNA", at positions 338 to 795 of the family's 1533-position model. The record is from RNAcentral. Lineage: Bacteria; Pseudomonadati; Verrucomicrobiota.